Molecule: long non-coding RNA, 264 nt
Filed under: Elaeis guineensis (African oil palm)
Lineage: Eukaryota; Viridiplantae; Streptophyta; Magnoliopsida; Arecales; Arecaceae
Description: long non-coding RNA (EGUI_LNC034492)
Source: RNAcentral
GUCUUUUGGGGUCCUCUCCUCUAACACCGAAUAGAGUGCCACAUCCGCCAAAUAUCCUCUAAUCACAGAACAAGCUUUCUUCUCCAGGGACAUGCACUGACUAUCCGUCAUCUCUUCAGGCUUCUUCUCUAAUGCCAGAUCCAAAUCUACUUGAAUAAAAAAAUCUUCUACCUAAAUUUUCUAUAUGAAAAAAAAAUUUCUCAUCAAACUUUUCAAAAUCAACCUUCAUGUUACUUUCCAUGACUAGAUCCAAAUCAAAAACAU